CUGGCGGCAGGCUUAACACAUGCAAGUCGAACGCAUCCUUCGGGGUGAGUGGCAGACGGGUGAGUAACGCGUGGGAACGUGCCCUUCAGUUCGGAAUAACCCAGGGAAACUUGGGCUAAUACCGGAUACGUGCGAGAGCAGAAAGAUUUAUCGCUGAAGGAUCGGCCCGCGUCUGAUUAGCUAGUUGGUGAGGUAAUGGCUCACCAAGGCGACGAUCAGUAGCUGGUCUGAGAGGAUGAUCAGCCACAUUGGGACUGAGACACGGCCCAAACUCCUACGGGAGGCAGCAGUGGGGAAUAUUGGACAAUGGGCGCAAGCCUGAUCCAGCCAUGCCGCGUGAGUGAUGAAGGCCUUAGGGUUGUAAAGCUCUUUCGUCCGGGACGAUAAUGACGGUACCGGAAGAAGAAGCCCCGGCUAACUUCG
RNAcentral lists this ribosomal RNA (423 nucleotides) under bacterium gwi78. RNAcentral's name for it is "bacterial SSU rRNA". It matches the Rfam family "Bacterial small subunit ribosomal RNA", at positions 36 to 505 of the family's 1533-position model. The record is from RNAcentral.